RNAcentral lists this ribosomal RNA (161 nucleotides) under uncultured bacterium. RNAcentral describes it as "partial 16S rRNA". It matches the Rfam family "Bacterial small subunit ribosomal RNA", at positions 355 to 507 of the family's 1533-position model. RNAcentral also lists the same sequence under 1 other name. The record is from RNAcentral.
UAGGGAAUCUUCCGCAAUGGACGAAAGUCUGACGGAGCAACGCCGCGUGAGCGAAGAAGGUCUUCGGAUCGUAAAGCUCUGUUGUUAGGGAAGAACAAGUAUCGUUCGAAUAGGGCGGUACCUUGACGGUACCUAACCAGAAAGCCACGGCUAACUACGUG